This 677-nucleotide long non-coding RNA is filed under the name Daphnia magna. RNAcentral's name for it is "uncharacterized LOC123475424, transcript variant X1". Lineage: Eukaryota; Metazoa; Arthropoda; Branchiopoda; Diplostraca; Daphniidae. The record is from RNAcentral.
CCGACAUCACCGUCACCAGCCAAUCUGAUGAACGCAACCUCGAUGGCAGCAGCCAAUGGAGCUACGCCCAGUCUGACUACACCACUCGUGAAGAGUCCCAGGCCCAAAAGAAGAUGCAAGAAGUCGCCUACGAUUCUUACGGCAAGGCUACCUACGAGGACGUUAUGGGAAACACCAACAAGGGAUCCUCUUACUGGGUUUCCCCUGAAGGUCAGAAAUUCACUUUAACCUGGACCGCUGAUGAUGCUGGAUUCUAGCCCAAAGGAGACGUCAAUAACAUCGCAAAAAUGCAAAUAGGAUGGUGUCAUUGUAGGGACGACGAUUGGGAACACUUGAGGUGCUUCUUGGAACACUCUUCCGCGCCGUUUCUGUUGUCUGUUCACACAAAACGCGUUCGUAGGUUUUGGAUUUGUUGUGGGUAUGAAAAUCAACGCUCUUCAGGACACCAAAGGUUUUUAAAUAAACAAAAACUACCUCAAUGAGAAAAACCGUUGCACCAAGCAAUGUUGUCAUGCUUUGGUUGUCUACAUCAGCAUGCAAGUAAAUGGUUUCACCUGCGACAUAUCUAGAUACAGUGUUACCGUAAUAAGUUCAGAUCGGCAGCAAAACCAACGGAAAACGGACUUGGUUUUUAUUGAUUGUGUUGGUAGCUAUCAAUAAAAUUUAAAAGAUGGUGA